Molecule: ribosomal RNA, 235 nt
Filed under: uncultured Anaerolineaceae bacterium
Lineage: Bacteria; Bacillati; Chloroflexota; Anaerolineae; Anaerolineales; Anaerolineaceae
Description: partial 16S ribosomal RNA
Rfam family: Bacterial small subunit ribosomal RNA
Source: RNAcentral
GCCGGUAAAAAGACCGGGAGGAAGGGUGAGGAUGAUGUCAAGUCAGCAUGACCUUUAUAUCCAGGGCUACACACACGCUACAAUGGUCUGUACAAUGGGUAGCCAAGCCGCGAGGCGGAGCCAAUCCUGAAAGCAGGCCUCAGUUCAGAUUGCAGUCUGCAACUCGACUGCAUGAAGCCGGAGUUGCUAGUAACCGCAGGUCAGCAAUACUGCGGUGAAUACGUUCCCGGGUCUU